RNAcentral lists this ribosomal RNA (615 nucleotides) under Bacillus sp. (in: firmicutes). RNAcentral describes it as "bacterial SSU rRNA". It matches the Rfam family "Bacterial small subunit ribosomal RNA", at positions 56 to 651 of the family's 1533-position model. Lineage: Bacteria; Bacillati; Bacillota; Bacilli; Caryophanales; Bacillaceae. The record is from RNAcentral.
UGCAAGUCCGAGCGGACAGAUGGGAGCUUGCUCCCCUGAUGUUAGCGGCGGACGGGUGAGUAACACGUGGGUAACCUGCCUGUAAGACUGGGAUAACUCCGGGAAACCGGGGCUAAUACCGGAUGCUUGUUUGAACCGCAUGGUUCAAACAUAAAAGGUGGCUUCGGCUACCACUUACAGAUGGACCCGCGGCGCAUUAGCUAGUUGGUGAGGUAACGGCUCACCAAGGCAACGAUGCGUAGCCGACCUGAGAGGGUGAUCGGCCACACUGGGACUGAGACACGGCCCAGACUCCUACGGGAGGCAGCAGUAGGGAAUCUUCCGCAAUGGACGAAAGUCUGACGGAGCAACGCCGCGUGAGUGAUGAAGGUUUUCGGAUCGUAAAGCUCUGUUGUUAGGGAAGAACAAGUACCGUUCGAAUAGGGCGGUACCUUGACGGUACCUAACCAGAAAGCCACGGCUAACUACGUGCCAGCAGCCGCGGUAAUACGUAGGUGGCAAGCGUUGUCCGGAAUUAUUGGGCGUAAAGGGCUCGCAGGCGGUUCCUUAAGUCUGAUGUGAAAGCCCCCGGCUCAACCGGGGAGGGUCAUUGGAAACUGGGGAACUUGAGUGCAG